CGGAGGGGGCUAGCGUUGUUCGGAAUUACUGGGCGUAAAGGGCUCGUAGGUGGCCAACUAAGUCAGACGUGAAAUCCCUCAGCUUAACUGGGGAACUGCGUCUGAUACUGGAUGGCUUGGAUUCGGGAGAGGAAUGCGGAAUUCCAGGUGUAGCGGUGAAAUGCGUAGAUAUCUGGAGGAACACCGGUGGCGAAGGCGGCAUUCUGGACCGACAUUGACGCUGAGGAGCGAAAGCCAGGGGAGCAAACGGG
This 251-nucleotide ribosomal RNA is filed under the name uncultured bacterium. RNAcentral describes it as "partial 16S ribosomal RNA". It matches the Rfam family "Bacterial small subunit ribosomal RNA", at positions 526 to 776 of the family's 1533-position model. The record is from RNAcentral.